GGAUGGGGAGCUUGAGGAGGUAGUCGCCGCCGGCGGGGAGGAGGUCCUUGACGAGCUGGAGCGGGAAGAGCUUGCGCAUGUCCUCGAGCGCCUGGAUCUUGGGCAGCUUGAUGCCGCCCUCGUAUAGGUUGAUGAUGUCCUGGAACGAGUCGAACUCGCCGGGGGUGGUGUCCACGUACGUGCGCACCGCCGGCACGAUCCCCUGCGUGAUGGCCUUGAUCGCGUACCCCAGGAAGUCCGACAUCUUGAGGUGCCCGAAGCGCUCGUCACGGGGCACGUAGAUCUGCUCCACCAGCGACAGCCGGCUCUCCGAGUUGGGGUCUGCGGCCAAAGUCAACGUCAGUCAACCCAACCCUGCAGCUAGUACUCUCUCUGACAGUGGGUCCACCUGGCGUCUGGAUGGACCCACGUGUCAUUGGAAGUAGUAAUAUGUCGCCGAAAACAAAUAAAUAAUCAAGCGCGCGCGCACCGGUGGUGGUGGGCUUGCGGCCGGUUCGGCACCGGCGAGGGUAGGGGUGGUCGUCCGAGCCGCCGAGGACGGGGCGCGGGUUGCCACGGUCGGGCUCGCCGAGGUCGUUGUAGACGUCGUAGCGGUAGACGC
RNAcentral lists this long non-coding RNA (601 nucleotides) under Setaria italica (foxtail millet). RNAcentral describes it as "long non-coding RNA (SITA_LNC006523)". The record is from RNAcentral. Lineage: Eukaryota; Viridiplantae; Streptophyta; Magnoliopsida; Poales; Poaceae.